UUAACAAAUUGUGAUCUACUGGCAUUCAACACCAAAUUACUUACUUGCUGUAUAUUGAUAAAUGUGAUUGUAUAUUGUCAAUACCUCAACAUCGAGAAUACGUCAUGUGAGGUGUUGGUCGCUACGUUUGAUACGGGGUCAACGGUUGCGGCUUCGAGACAGAGAAAAACAUCCAGGGCAAGAACAUGAAAGAUAAAGGGGGAAACUAUAAACAGAAGAAAUUAUCAACAAAAUAAGAUUUACAGAGGUCAACAAAGCCUAAAUGGUCAGACAUCUCAAUUUUCAUGGUCAUCAUUCACAGAUCAAUACUGAACGGAAAACUUAAAGCUGAUAUUUUUCUCCACGGUGCGACUUUUUUAUUAAUUUGAAAUGGAACAUGUUUUUUCCUACAUUUAUUUGAAAGAGGAAAUUUCAACAUGAUGACUAUAAACAAAAAGGAGUCAUAUCAUCACGAUCAUAGUUGCACAAGAACUUGAUCAUAUAAAUACAACAAUGUAAUUAUCAAUUGAAAGAUGGAACGAAUGAACAAGAUAUUAGAAUGUUGUUGUCCAAAUAAACUUGCUUUGUCUUCUCAUUUGAAUCUCUCCAUUCAAUAAAGAUGUACAGAGGAAGAUCUUUGAAGAACAGAUUGAAAAAAUAUUUUGUCUAAGAAUUGCAGGAAUAUUCUAGUGAAUGAAAUUAUUUAUUGACUUCACUCUUAUAUAGUGGACUGAAUAAUUGUACAUAGCAAGCUGUGAAUAAAGAAAGCAAAAACUUUAA
This is a long non-coding RNA of Mytilus trossulus (common blue mussel), 759 nucleotides long. RefSeq lists it as uncharacterized. The transcript is spliced from 3 exons. The record is from RefSeq and is a predicted model, not a curated record. NCBI's taxonomy places the organism in Eukaryota, Metazoa, Mollusca, Bivalvia, Mytilida, Mytilidae.